GGAUUGCCCCAGUAACGGCGAGUGAAGCGGCAACAGCUCAAAUUUGAAAUCUGGCCCUCGGGUCCGAGUUGUAAUUUGUAGAGGAUGCUUUUGGCGAGGUGCCUUCCGAGUUCCCUGGAACGGGACGCCAUAGAGGGUGAGAGCCCCGUCUGGUCGGAUACCAAGCCUCUGUAAAGCUCCUUCGACGAGUCGAGUAGUUUGGGAAUGCUGCUCAAAAUGGGAGGUAUAUGUCUUCUAAAGCUAAAUAUUGGCCAGAGACCGAUAGCGCACAAGUAGAGUGAUCGAAAGAUGAAAAGCACUUUGAAAAGAGGGUUAAAAAGUACGUGAAAUUGUUGAAAGGGAAGCGCCUAUGACCAGACUUGGGCCCGGUGAAUCAUCCAGCGUUCUCGCUGGUGCACUUUGCCGGGCACAGGCCAGCAUCAGUUUGGCGCGGGGGAUAAAGGCUUUGGGAAUGUGGCUCCCUCGGGAGUGUUAUAGCCCAUUGCGCAAUACCCUGCGCCGGACUGAGGUACGCGCAUUGCAAGGAUGCUGGCGUAAUGGUCAUCAGCGACCCGUCUUGAAACACGGACCAAGGAGUCGUCUUCGUAUGCGAGUGUUCGGGUGUCAAACCCCUACGCGUAAUGAAAGUGAACGCAGGUGAGAGCUUCGGCGCAUCAUCGACCGAUCCUGAUGUUCUCGGAUGGAUUUGAGUAAGAGCAUACGGGGCCGGACCCGAAAGAAGGUGAACUAUGCCUGUAUAGGGUGAAGCCAGAGGAAACUCUGGUGGAGGCUCGCAGCGGUUCUGACGUGCGAAUCGAUCGUCAAAUAUGGGCAUGGGGGCGAAAGACUAAUCGAACCUUCUAGUAGCUGGUUUCCGCCGAAGUUUCCCUCAGGAUAGCAGUGUUGAACUCAGUUUUAUGAGGUAAAGCGAAUGAUUAGGGACUCGGGGGCGCUAUAUUGCCUUCAUCCAUUCUCAAACUUUAAAUAUGUAAGAAGCUCUUGUUGCUUAAUUGAACGUGAGCAUUCGAAUGUAUCAACACUAGUGGGCCAUUUUUGGUAAGCAGAACUGGCGAUGCGGGAUGAACCGAACGCGAGGUUAAGGUGCCGGAGUGGACGCUCAUCAGACACCACAAAAGGUGUUAGUACAUCUUGACAGCAGGACGGUGGCCAUGGAAGUCGGAAUCCGCUAAGGACUGUGUAACAACUCACCUGCCGAAUGUACUAGCCCUGAAAAUGGAUGGCGCUCAAGCGUCCCACCCAUACCUCGCCCUCAGGGUAGAAACGAAGCCCUGAGGAGUAGGCGGACGUGGAGGUCAGUGACGAAGCCUAGGGC
RNAcentral lists this ribosomal RNA (1312 nucleotides) under Cordyceps sp. BCC12671. Its description in RNAcentral is "eukaryotic LSU rRNA". It matches the Rfam family "Eukaryotic large subunit ribosomal RNA", at positions 72 to 1416 of the family's 3401-position model. Lineage: Eukaryota; Fungi; Ascomycota; Sordariomycetes; Hypocreales; Cordycipitaceae. The record is from RNAcentral.